RNAcentral lists this transfer RNA (76 nucleotides) under Candidatus Tokpelaia sp. JSC189. RNAcentral's name for it is "tRNA-Thr". It matches the Rfam family "tRNA". Rfam says of the family: Transfer RNA (tRNA) molecules are approximately 80 nucleotides in length. Their secondary structure includes four short double-helical elements and three loops (D, anti-codon, and T loops). Further hydrogen bonds mediate the characteristic L-shaped molecular structure. tRNAs have two regions of fundamental functional importance: the anti-codon, which is responsible for specific mRNA codon recognition, and the 3' end, to which the tRNAs corresponding amino acid is attached (by aminoacyl-tRNA synthetases). tRNAs cope with the degeneracy of the genetic code in two manners: having more than one tRNA (with a specific anti-codon) for a particular amino acid; and 'wobble' base-pairing, i.e. permitting non-standard base-pairing at the 3rd anti-codon position. Lineage: Bacteria; Pseudomonadati; Pseudomonadota; Alphaproteobacteria; Hyphomicrobiales. The record is from RNAcentral.
GCCCUUAUAGCUCAGUUGGUAGAGCACCUGAUUUGUAAUCAGGGGGUCGGUGGUUCGAGUCCAUCUGGGGGCACCA